GAGCGAAACCAGCUUGCUGGUCUAGCUAGUGGCGGACGGGUGAGUAACACGUGAGCAAUCUGCCUUUCGGAGAGGGAUACCAAUUGGAAACGAUUGUUAAUACCUCAUAACAUAACGAAGCCGCAUGACUUUGUUAUCAAAUGAAUUUCGCCGAAAGAUGAGCUCGCGUCUGAUUAGGUAGUUGGUGAGGUAACGGCCCACCAAGCCGACGAUCAGUAGCCGGACUGAGAGGUUGAACGGCCACAUUGGGACUGAGACGCGGCCCAGACUCCUACGGGAGGCAGCAGUGGGGAAUAUUGCACAAUGGGCGAAAGCCUGAUGCAGCGAUGCCGCGUGAGGGAAGAAGGUUUUAGGAUUGUAAACCUCUGUCUUCGGGGACGAUAAUGACGGUACCCGAGGAGGAAGCUCCGGCUAACUACGUGCCAGCAGCCGCGGUAAUACGUAGGGAGCGAGCGUUGUCCGGAAUUACUGGGUGUAAAGGGAGCGUAGGCGGGACUGCAAGUCAGGUGUGAAAUGUAGGGGCUUAACCCCUACCCUGCACUUGAAACUGUGGUUCUUGAGUGAAGUAGAGGUAAGCGGAAUUCCUAGUGUAGCGGUGAAAUGCGUAGAUAUUAGGAGGAACAUCAGUGGCGAAGGCGGCUUACUGGGCUUUAACUGACGCUGAGGCUCGAAAGCGUGGGGAGCAAACAGGAUUAGAUACCCUGGUAGUCCACGCCGUAAACGAUGAUUACUAGGUGUGGGGGGACUGACCCCUUCCGUGCCG
RNAcentral lists this ribosomal RNA (763 nucleotides) under uncultured bacterium. RNAcentral describes it as "bacterial SSU rRNA". It matches the Rfam family "Bacterial small subunit ribosomal RNA", at positions 68 to 848 of the family's 1533-position model. The record is from RNAcentral.